GACGAACGCUGGCGGCGUGCCUAAUACAUGCAAGUAGAACGCUGAAGGAGGAGCUUGCUCUUCUGGAUGAGUUGCGAACGGGUGAGUAACGCGUAGGUAACCUGCCUAUUAGAGGGGGAUAACUAUUGGAAACGAUAGCUAAUACCGCAUAACAGUAUGUAACACAUGUUAGAUGCUUGAAAGAUGCAAUUGCAUCGCUAGUAGAUGGACCUGCGUUGUAUUAGCUAGUAGGUAGGGUAAUGGCCUACCUAGGCGACGAUACAUAGCCGACCUGAGAGGGUGAUCGGCCACACUGGGACUGAGACACGGCCCAGACUCCUACGGGAGGCAGCAGUAGGGAAUCUUCGGCAAUGGGGGGAACCCUGACCGAGCAACGCCGCGUGAGUGAAGAAGGUUUUCGGAUCGUAAAGCUCUGUUGUUAAGGAAGAACGAGUGUGAGAAUGGAAAGUUCAUACUGUGACGGUACUUAACCAGAAAGGGACGGCUAACUACGUGCCAGCAGCCGCGGUAAUACGUAGGUCCCGAGCGUUGUCCGGAUUUAUUGGGCGUAAAGCGAGCGCAGGCGGUUAGAAAAGUCUGAAGUGAAAGGCAGUGGCUCAACCAUUGUAGGCUUUGGAAACUGUUUAACUUGAGUGCAGAAGGGGAGAGUGGAAUUCCAUGUGUAGCGGUGAAAUGCGUAGAUAUAUGGAGGAACACCGGUGGCGAAAGCGGCUCUCUGGUCUGUAACUGACGCUGAGGCUCGAAAGCGUGGGGAGCGAACAGG
Molecule: ribosomal RNA, 763 nt
Filed under: Streptococcus anginosus
Lineage: Bacteria; Bacillati; Bacillota; Bacilli; Lactobacillales; Streptococcaceae
Description: bacterial SSU rRNA
Rfam family: Bacterial small subunit ribosomal RNA
Source: RNAcentral